GGUUCCCUACGGGAGGCAGCAGUAGGGAAUCUUCCACAAUGGACGAAAGUCUGAUGGAGCAACGCCGCGUGAGUGAAGAAGGGUUUCGGCUCGUAAAGCUCUGUUGGUAGUGAAGAAAGAUAGAGGUAGUAACUGGCCUUUAUUUGACGGUAACUACUUAGAAAGUCACGGCUAACUACGUGCCAGCAGCCGCGGUAAUACGUAGGUGGCAAGCGUUGUCCGGAUUUAUUGGGCGUAAAGCGAGUGCAGGCGGGUCAAUUAGGC
RNAcentral lists this ribosomal RNA (264 nucleotides) under uncultured bacterium. RNAcentral describes it as "partial 16S ribosomal RNA". It matches the Rfam family "Bacterial small subunit ribosomal RNA", at positions 333 to 589 of the family's 1533-position model. The record is from RNAcentral.